UGAGGAAUUUUGCGCAAUGGGAGCAAUCCUGACGCAGCAACGCCGCGUGGGUGAUGAAGGCCUUCGGGUCGUAAAGCCCUGUCAGGUGGGAAGAAUGUCCCGGGACUGAACAGGUUCCGGGAGUGACGGUACCACCAGAGGAAGCACCGGCUAACUCCGUGCCAGCAGCCGCGGGCAUACGGAGGGUGCAAGCGUUAUUCGGAAUUACUGGGCGUAAAGCGCGUGUAGGCGGUCCUGCAAGUCUGUGGUGAAAGCCCCGGGCUUAACCCGGGAAGUGCAUUGGAAACUGUGGGACUUGAGUACUGGAGAGGAUGGGGGAAUUCCCGGUGUAGAGGUGAAAUUCGUAGAGAUCGGGAGGAAUAUCAGUGGCGAAGGCGCCCAUCUGGACGGUAACUGACGCUGAGACGCGAAAGCGUGGGGAGCAAACA
This 428-nucleotide ribosomal RNA is filed under the name uncultured prokaryote. RNAcentral describes it as "bacterial SSU rRNA". It matches the Rfam family "Bacterial small subunit ribosomal RNA", at positions 355 to 774 of the family's 1533-position model. The record is from RNAcentral.